This 467-nucleotide ribosomal RNA is filed under the name uncultured bacterium. RNAcentral describes it as "partial 16S ribosomal RNA". It matches the Rfam family "Bacterial small subunit ribosomal RNA", at positions 28 to 507 of the family's 1533-position model. The record is from RNAcentral.
GACGAACGCUGGCGGCGUGCUUAACACAUGCAAGUCGAACGGAAAGGCCCUGCUUUUGUGGGGUGCUCGAGUGGCGAACGGGUGAGUAACACGUGAGUAACCUGCCCUUGACUUUGGGAUAACUUCAGGAAACUGGGGCUAAUACCGGAUAGGAGCUCCUGCUGCAUGGUGGGGUUGGAAAGUUUCGGCGGUUGGGGAUGGACUCUCGGCUUAUCAGCUUGUUGGUGGGGUAGUGGCUUACCAAGGCUUUGACGGGUAGCCGGCCUGAGAGGGUGACCGGCGACAUUGGGACUGAGAUACGGCACAGACUCCUACGGGAGGCAGCAGUGGGGAAUAUUGCACAAUGGGCGGAAGCCUGAUGCAGAAACGCCGCGUGCGGGAUGACGGACUUCGGGUUGUAAACCGCUUUCGCCUGUGACGAAGCGUGAGUGACGGUAAUGGGUAAAGAAGCAACGGCUAACUACGUG